This 561-nucleotide long non-coding RNA is filed under the name Glycine max (soybean). RNAcentral's name for it is "long non-coding RNA (GMAX_LNC000971)". The record is from RNAcentral. Lineage: Eukaryota; Viridiplantae; Streptophyta; Magnoliopsida; Fabales; Fabaceae.
GCAUCGUACGGUCCAACGUGGGUACACCCAUCAUAGCAUAUGUGCUCCAAACACUCCAUCGCCUCGCUCAGCUCCGCGUAUAGCCCCUGCUCCAUCCUAUACUUCCUCGAUUUCUUUUUCCUCUGUCAAACAAACAAUCCCGUUUAAUACUUUAAUUGUAAUUAAUUUCAUUCAAUUUAAUUGACGCAACACUGCCUUUACAUGCGUCAAAAUAUUUCAUUUGGCGGAUUGGAAGAAUCAUGUUUGAUUCUAUCAUCUGAAAAAUUCUUUUGAUAUGUACAAUCAUAUUGACGCCAGUAAGAUUAGUCUCUAAUAAAGAGAAUCAAGAGAGAGUCAUGCUCUCUAACCCAUGAAAGAAAAACAAAUUUCAUUUCGAUUUGAAAAUGGAUUAAUAGAUUAAUUACGGUUUCGUGUUCGUCGAUGAAGCGGAGAAUGUCGAGUUCGAGCCAGGGGUCGUGUUUGACGAGGAACUUCCACCCCUCCGUUGCUUCCACCGCUUUGAAAUUGUUGGCGAGGAGCUUCAUGCAGCGAAGAUGGAGAUCCGGCGCGUCACAGAGACGC